UACGGGGGGUGCAAGCGUUACUCGGAAUCACUGGGCGUAAAGAGCGUGUAGGUUGAUAUAAAAGUCAUAAAUUAAAUACUGUAGCUUAACUAUAGAAAUGUUUAUGAAACUAUAUAUCUAGAAUCUAGAGGGGGUAGAUGGAAUUUCUUGUGUAGGGGUAAAAUCCGUAGAUAUGAGAAGGAAUACCAAAAGUGAAGACGAUCUACAAAUAUAGAAUUGACACUGAGACGCGAGAGCUUGGGGAGCAAACAGG
RNAcentral lists this ribosomal RNA (253 nucleotides) under uncultured bacterium. Its description in RNAcentral is "partial 16S ribosomal RNA". It matches the Rfam family "Bacterial small subunit ribosomal RNA", at positions 524 to 776 of the family's 1533-position model. The record is from RNAcentral.